GCGAAGCUGACCGAGCACUCCGCGUGAGGGAUGAAGGCCUCUGGGCUGUAAACCUCUUUUAUCAAGGAAGAAGAUCUGACGGUACUUGAUGAAUAAGCCACGGCUAAUUCCGUGCCAGCAGCCGCGGUAAUACGGGAGUGGCAAGCGUUAUCCGGAAUUAUUGGGCGUAAAGCGUCCGCAGGCGGUCUUUUAAGUCUGUCGUCAAAGCGUGGAGCUUAACUCCAUUUCUGCGAUGGAAACUGGAAGACUAGAGUGUGGUAGGGGCAGAGGGAAUUCCCGGUGUAGCGGUGAAAUGCGUAGAUAUCGGGAAGAACACCAGUGGCGAAGGCGCUCUGCUGGGCCAUAACUGACGCUCAUGGACGAAAGCCAGGGGAGCGAAAGGGAUUAGAUACCCCUGUAGUCCUGGCCGUAAACGAUGAACACUAGGUGUCGGGGGAAUCGACCCCCUCGGUGUCGUAGCCAACGCGUUAAGUGUUCCGCCUGGGGAGUACGCACGCAAGUGUGAAACUCAAAGGAAUUGACGGGGGCCCGCACAAGCGGUGGAGUAUGUGGUUUAAUUCGAUGCAACGCGAAGAACCUUACCAG
RNAcentral lists this ribosomal RNA (585 nucleotides) under uncultured bacterium. RNAcentral's name for it is "bacterial SSU rRNA". It matches the Rfam family "Bacterial small subunit ribosomal RNA", at positions 377 to 977 of the family's 1533-position model. The record is from RNAcentral.